GAGUCUAUGGACUUCGGUCCAUGGCGGACGGCUCAGUAACACGUGGUUAACCUACCCUUAGGUGGGGGAUAACCUUGGGAAACUGAGGAUAAUACCCCAUAGGNAAAAGAGGUUUGGAAUAAUCCUUUUCUGAAAGGACAUCCGCCUAAGGAUGGGACUGCGUCUGAUUAGGUAGUUGGUGGGGUAAUGGCCCACCAAGCCUACGAUCAGUACGGGCCUUGAGAGAGGGAGCCCGGAGAUGGGGACUGAGACACGGCCCCAGGCCCUACGGGGCGCAGCAGGCGCGAAACCUCCACAAUGCACGAAAGUGCGAUGGGGGAAUCCCAAGUGCCUAUGUAAAACAUAGGCUUUUCCCAAGUUUAAACAACUUGGGGAAUAAGGGCUGGGCAAGUCCGGUGCCAGCAGCCGCGGUAACACCGGCGGCCCAGU
RNAcentral lists this ribosomal RNA (429 nucleotides) under uncultured prokaryote. RNAcentral describes it as "bacterial SSU rRNA". It matches the Rfam family "Archaeal small subunit ribosomal RNA", at positions 55 to 487 of the family's 1478-position model. The record is from RNAcentral.